This 368-nucleotide ribosomal RNA is filed under the name uncultured Streptococcus sp. Its description in RNAcentral is "bacterial SSU rRNA". It matches the Rfam family "Bacterial small subunit ribosomal RNA", at positions 1014 to 1382 of the family's 1533-position model. The record is from RNAcentral. Lineage: Bacteria; Bacillati; Bacillota; Bacilli; Lactobacillales; Streptococcaceae.
GUUACUUCGGUACAUCGGUGACUAGGUGGUGCAUGGUUGUCGUCAGCUCGUGUCGUGAGAUGCUGGGUUAAGUCCCGCAACGAGCGCAACCCCUAUUGUUAGUUGCCAUCAUUCAGUUGGGCACUCUAGCGAGACUGCCGGUAAUAAACCGGAGGAAGGUGGGGAUGACGUCAAAUCAUCAUGCCCCUUAUGACCUGGGCUGCACACGUGCUACAAUGGUUGGUACAACGAGUUGCGAGUCGGUGACGGCGAGCUAAUCUCUUAAAGCCAAUCUCAGUUCGGAUUGUAGGCUGCAACUCGCCUACAUGAAGUCGGAAUCGCUAGUAAUCGCGGAUCAGCACGCCGCGGUGAAUACGUUCCCGGGCCUU